Molecule: long non-coding RNA, 2306 nt
Filed under: Phoenix dactylifera (date palm)
Lineage: Eukaryota; Viridiplantae; Streptophyta; Magnoliopsida; Arecales; Arecaceae
Description: long non-coding RNA (PDAC_LNC011850)
Source: RNAcentral
AACUGGAAUAUUACAGAUAAAGCCCAUGAGGUAUUAAAGUAAACAUCCACAACUCUCGAAAUCCUGCAAUAUAGGAUGAUUUUGAAUCAGUGAUUAGGUCUUAUCUGACCGAUUCUUGGAAACUACUAGCUUUAGCAGUAUUUUGGAGGAUCUAAAGCCUUAGCUUGUGUACGGUCCAGAUAUCACCGAGCACCCAAGUAUAAAUUAGCCUUACAACUCUCUAACGGAAGCUUAAUAAUUUCAACUUAAGUUGCAUACUGACUUAGGAUUCGGGCUGACUUAGUAAUUAAAACUUUGUGUGCUUUUGAAAUUCUUGGCAUUUAUGCAUUUGAAAUUAGAUUUUAUAAAAUAAUAACUCUUUGAGUAGAGACAAACAGUUUGUGGGUAUCUGAGCUGGAAACCCUCACGAGACAAAACUCGUCCACUAGGGCCACCUAGGGGUUUAAAGCCUUAUUGCAUACGGUAAAUACAAUCGCGAUUCCUGCGAAAGUGAGUUAGUUUUUAUUUUGCUUGAGGACUAGCAAAAUGUAGGUUGGGGGGUGUGAUAAGUGCUAAAUAAUGCAUAAAUUAAUAUCUUAUUCAUAGCACUUAUCAUUAUUUUAAUUCACAUAUUUUGUAAAUUCAACUAAAAAAAUGUGUUACCUUCAUCAUUAAAUUUUAAUAAAUUAUUCGAGUUUUACUUAUAUACUGAUUAAGCUUAAUGAAUACAGGUCGAACUUAUUUGGGAUGAGCCCUGAACCCAAAUUUAUUGAGCUCAAACUCCCCUGUUCACUCCUUGCUAAGUCCAUCCCAAGUCAUCAUGCAAGUCCCCUUCAUUUCAAAGUAUCUUCCACGUAAUCCACCCAUACUCAAAAUAGAGCAAAUUCCCAACCGUCCACGUCGGCAUACAAGCUUGCAUGCCAUCCUCCCUCGUGUCCAAAAGUCUUGCUCCCAGCCAAAGGAAAUCACACUUCAUCCACCCACGUUUCACGAGCUUCAUCUCCCUUGCAUCCUUAUCUCUACUUCGGAACAGAGUUCCAGCUCGAGUAAUCUCAACUGUAUGCCUUCCUCCCCUUCAUCCACGUCAAAAGGAAUCCCAGGAAUUUAGCCUCCCAUGUCUUCCGAAGCCCCUGCAUUCCAGUGCUUCAUCCUCAUCCCGUGAAACGGCGACAUCCCAACCUCCCACGGAUUCCAUCUAAGCUUCAACUCCCAGCUGCCAGCCGUAAGCUUCAUUCCGCAUCGGCCACGUCAUGCAUCUUCCUCUAUUCCGAAAUCACUCCCGGCCGAAUCCAACUCCCAGCUCCCGCAUCCCAUUUCGAAUCCAACUUUCACCAAAUCCAGCGUCCCCAACGUCCAGCUUCAUUCUUCCGGAUUCCUCUCAGCCGAAGCCCCUGCAACUUUAUCCCAAACAAACACAGCUUCAUCUCGUUAUCCCUCCGCAUCACGUUCGUGAUCCCGCAUCCAACAAGAUCCCUGACUUCAGCUUUCUCUAGAAUCAAUCUCACCGUUCCAAGGAUCUCCUGUAUCCAUCAACAAAAAAAACCAUGCAUCUGUUCCCUAUUAUCAGCCGAUAUCCAAACAUCCCAUGACCAUAUCAAAUCCCCUGUUUCAUGCGGAUGAAAACCAGAAUCUUCUUCCGGACUGAUCCCAGUCGGAUUCCCAAAUCUCCCAACAUUCCAAAGCUUCCACGAAUCACGUUCCCAACUAAAUCCCAGCUCCUCUGUUCUCACCCGUGAUUCACUCAUCUCCUAGCCUUUAUCCCGUAAUCACCGUUCACAGCCGUCCCAGCUUCAUCCCUUCCACGUCCGAGUAUCCCAUGGAUCAACAUCCUAAGCGCAUCUGUUUCCUCCUCAACUUCCCUUCACGAAUCCGUUUCUUCCUCCCAUCCUGCACUGUCCACAUCAUCAUGCAUCCCGAGCUCCACGGAUUCCCCUGUUUCGGGAUUAAUCCGAACCAAUCCCAGCUUGUUCCAGCCGUUCUUAUCUCUUCUCCGCGAUCAGCUCUCAGAUAUAUUCUCCCCAACGUCUGGAUGAGAUACGACAAUAUCUUCUAUUAUCGGCGGAUCAGAUCAAGCUCUUCAUCAUUAUCCUCCCACUCGAAACAACCACGUGAAGAAACAGGGGAGGAGCGAGGGGAGUUGGCAAGUCUAUAAAAGGCCCAGGCGUGAACAUAGGAGCCAUCCUCUUCGGAACCAUUCCAAGGGAGCCGGUUGAUCCCAUCCAUCCUUCGGAGGAGUCAUCCCAGGAGACAGAGAAGGGAGGAGAGAAUCAGAGACGGGAGAAAGAAAAGAAGAAAUGGAAGCUCUCGGCGCUGCCACUGUUCAACCC